GCCUGGAUGGCUCAGUCGGUUGAGCAUCUGACUUCAGCUCAGGUCAUGAUGUUGUGGUCUGUGAGUUCAAGCCCCGUGUUGGGCU
RNAcentral lists this transfer RNA (85 nucleotides) under Felis catus (domestic cat). It matches the Rfam family "tRNA". Rfam says of the family: Transfer RNA (tRNA) molecules are approximately 80 nucleotides in length. Their secondary structure includes four short double-helical elements and three loops (D, anti-codon, and T loops). Lineage: Eukaryota; Metazoa; Chordata; Mammalia; Carnivora; Felidae. The record is from Rfam by way of RNAcentral.